UGAUCGAUUAGAUUGGAAUCUUGGUCCAAUGCAUCUGGGCUUAAUACAACCUGUGCCUAUUAGGCGUUGGGAUUUAGGCCCAGUCGGAAAAUAGGAUAAAAUUCCAGAGAGAACUGAAGGAGCAGCGGGUGGCGUGCGCGCGCGCGAGAGAGGGCUGGAGGAAUAGGAGCAUUUGGGGGAACAAGAGUGCUGGAAAUAGUGAAGAAGCACGAUUCAGGCGGCCUCGUCUGGAAGAGAAUUAAGUUCACCUCUACCCGCAAAGCCAACGCCAAGAAGCGUCUCCGUCGCGAUUGGCAGAAUGAAGCCGUUUUGAGGGUGUGUUCAGAACCGCCUCCUCCGAGAGCAACCGACAUAGCUGGUGUUGAGAAAGACGUUGAAGGGCCAACUUAAAUGACAGUUAAAGAAGACCCUACAUGAGCCAGAGAGGAAUUUGGUGACCCUCGGGUUAAUGUAGCAGAAAGUUUUACAUAGCAAUGGUUGUAUGGGAUCAUUGACCACUUUUCCCCUAAUGUUAAAUACCAUUGCUAUGAUCUUAGUAGUUGGUCAAUGGACAUACGCAAUCAUAAUCACAGAUCUCUUAUCAGCAGUAGCUCUGUACAUGAAAAGGAAAUAUGAAAAAGUCGUUUGCUUACGAUGUUCUUGCUUGUUUUAAGGUUCAGUUGAUAAGAAAACUCAAAACUCAGCUGCUGCCUGUUUGCUUCUCGUGUGGGCACUCGACAUUGGUGGAAAAGGAAUGACAUUUCCACAGGGAAGAGUGGUGUGAAAGAUGAAGUGGUCUAAUUUGGCACGUUAAGGGAGUUGGAUGGAAUGGUGGACCCAUAACUACCAAAUGAAAAGGUAUGAGAAACCCACCUUCUUGUCUGAUUUUGACAUUGGAAGGGACAAUUAGACUUGGGAAUUCCUUCUUUCCAUACGUCUCUCUUUACUAUUUUGGCCACUUGAAGAGA
Long non-coding RNA from Hibiscus syriacus, 947 nucleotides. RefSeq lists it as uncharacterized. The record is from RefSeq and is a predicted model, not a curated record. Lineage: Eukaryota; Viridiplantae; Streptophyta; Magnoliopsida; Malvales; Malvaceae. The transcript is spliced from 2 exons.